CAACACACAUUUUAUUAUCUCCAUUUCUGAGGUCAGAAGUUGAGCACUGGGCUAAAAUCAAGUGUCAGUGAGGAUGCAUUCCUGUGGGGGCUCUGGAGAGGAUUCCACUUCUGCACUUAUUCAGAGCCAGCAUCAGCAUAGAAAUAAAUGGCAUCUAAAUUGAAAAGGAAGAAGUAAAACUUUCAUUAUAUGCAGAUGACAUGAGACUGUAUAUAUAGGAAACCUGAAAGACUCCACCAAAAAACUACUAAAACUGAUAUGUUUCCUGAGGCAAGGAAAACAAAAGCAAAAA
Molecule: long non-coding RNA, 292 nt
Organism: Suricata suricatta (meerkat)
Lineage: Eukaryota; Metazoa; Chordata; Mammalia; Carnivora; Herpestidae
Exons: 3
Source: RefSeq, a predicted model, not a curated record